RNAcentral lists this ribosomal RNA (272 nucleotides) under uncultured bacterium KC117. Its description in RNAcentral is "partial 16S rRNA". It matches the Rfam family "Bacterial small subunit ribosomal RNA", at positions 215 to 505 of the family's 1533-position model. The record is from RNAcentral. Lineage: Bacteria; Pseudomonadati; Pseudomonadota; Alphaproteobacteria.
ACGCCGAAAGAUGAGCCCGCACUUGAUUAGCUAGUUGGUAGGGUAAAAGCUUACCAAGGCAACGAUCAAUAGCUGUUCUUAGAGGAAGACCAGCCACAUUGGGACUGAGACACGGCCCAGACUCCUACGGGAGGCAGCAGUGGGGAAUCUUGCACAAUGGGGGAAACCCUGAUGCAGCGAUGCCGCGUGAGUGAAGAAGGCCCUUGGGUUGUAAAACUCUUUCGUCGGGGAAGAAAAUGACUGUACCCGAAUAAGAAGUCCGGCUAACUUCG